UGUGCCCUACGGGGCGCAGCAGUGGGGAAUAUUGCACAAUGGGGGAAACCCUGAUGCAGCAACGCCGCGUGAGUGAAGAAGUAUUUCGGUAUGUAAAGCUCUAUCAGCAGGGAAGAAACAGGACAGUACCUGACUAAGAAGCCCCGGCUAACUACGUGCCAGCAGCCGCGGUAAUACGUAGGGGGCAAGCGUUAUCCGGAUUCACUGGGCGUAAAGGGAGCGCAGGCGGCAUGGCAAGUCUGAUGUGAAAACCCGGGGCCCAACCCCGGGUGUG
Molecule: ribosomal RNA, 274 nt
Filed under: uncultured bacterium
Lineage: Bacteria
Description: partial 16S ribosomal RNA
Rfam family: Bacterial small subunit ribosomal RNA
Source: RNAcentral